AAAACUUCAUAUCAUCGAGUAAUGAAGCUUCUGAAUGAAGUAUGAACUGAAUAUCUAGUCGUAUUGGACUUGUUCAGGACUUGAGGCUGGGAGUUUCGACACCCAAAGUUCGUGCUGAUUUCGUUUUCAGCAAGGCUUAUGGUGCACCCAUCAUGGUGCUGGAAGAAUAUUUGGUUACAUAUUUGAGUCACAGGUUAUAUAAAUAAUCAGUAAGUGUCCGUUUAGCAUUGAAAUAUUCCUCUCAUUAUUUGCAUAACCAAAGAAUACUUGGUUACACAUUUAAUAUUUCUAUUAUCGGAUGU
This 302-nucleotide unclassified non-coding RNA is filed under the name Hevea brasiliensis (rubber tree). Lineage: Eukaryota; Viridiplantae; Streptophyta; Magnoliopsida; Malpighiales; Euphorbiaceae. The record is from RNAcentral.